This 238-nucleotide unclassified non-coding RNA is filed under the name Hevea brasiliensis (rubber tree). The record is from RNAcentral. Lineage: Eukaryota; Viridiplantae; Streptophyta; Magnoliopsida; Malpighiales; Euphorbiaceae.
UUUAUUUGGAAGGUGUCCCAUGUAAUUUCAUUAGUUUAAAACCUAGGAUAAACUUACACAAGCAAAUAUUAAAAUACCAAGAACAUCAUUGAAGAUUACUAGAGUUUGACGCUCCUCCAGUUUUCUGACUGUAAUUACAAGAACCAGAAAUAAGAAAAGAGAAUGAACUUUCUGAAUCAUCAAAUGGAGGUCAAGGAUACUCAUGAAAUCCACCAAAAUUACAAGUAUCGAAGUUCAA